GAUGAACGCUGGCGGCGUGCCUAAUACAUGCAAGUCGAGCGAACAGACGAGGAGCUUGCUCCUCUGACGUUAGCGGCGGACGGGUGAGUAACACGUGGAUAACCUACCUAUAAGACUGGGAUAACUUCGGGACACCGGAGCUAAUACCGGAUAAUAUAUUGAACCGCAUGGUUCAAUAGUGAAAGACGGUGUUGCUGUCACUUAUAGAUGGAUCCCCGCCGCAUUAGCUAGUUGGUAAGGUAACGGCUUACCAAGGCAACCAUGCGUAGCCGACCUGAGAGGGUGAGCGGCCACACUGGAACUGAGACACGGUCCAGACUCCUACGGGAGGCAGCAGUAGGGAUUCUUCCGCAAUGGGCGAAAGCCUGACGGAGCAACGCCGCGUGAGUGAUGAAGGUCUUCGGAUCGUAAAACUCUGUUAUUAGGGAAGAACAAAUGUGUAAGUAACUAUGCACGUCUUGACGGUACCUAAUCAGAAAGCCACGGCUAACUACGUG
This 497-nucleotide ribosomal RNA is filed under the name uncultured bacterium. Its description in RNAcentral is "partial 16S ribosomal RNA". It matches the Rfam family "Bacterial small subunit ribosomal RNA", at positions 28 to 507 of the family's 1533-position model. The record is from RNAcentral.